Molecule: ribosomal RNA, 586 nt
Filed under: Lacticaseibacillus rhamnosus
Lineage: Bacteria; Bacillati; Bacillota; Bacilli; Lactobacillales; Lactobacillaceae
Description: bacterial SSU rRNA
Rfam family: Bacterial small subunit ribosomal RNA
Source: RNAcentral
UUGCAUCUUGAUUUAAUUUUGAACGAGUGGCGGACGGGUGAGUAACACGUGGGUAACCUGCCCUUAAGUGGGGGAUAACAUUUGGAAACAGAUGCUAAUACCGCAUAAAUCCAAGAACCGCAUGGUUCUUGGCUGAAAGAUGGCGUAAGCUAUCGCUUUUGGAUGGACCCGCGGCGUAUUAGCUAGUUGGUGAGGUAACGGCUCACCAAGGCAAUGAUACGUAGCCGAACUGAGAGGUUGAUCGGCCACAUUGGGACUGAGACACGGCCCAAACUCCUACRGGAGGCAGCAGUAGGGAAUCUUCCACAAUGGACGCAAGUCUGAUGGAGCAACGCCGCGUGAGUGAAGAAGGCUUUCGGGUCGUAAAACUCUGUUGUUGGAGAAGAAUGGUCGGCAGAGUAACUGUUGUCGGCGUGACGGUAUCCAACCAGAAAGCCACGGCUAACUACGUGCCAGCAGCCGCGGUAAUACGUAGGUGGCAAGCGUUAUCCGGAUUUAUUGGGCGUAAAGCGAGCGCAGGCGGUUUUUUAAGUCUGAUGUGAAAGCCCUCGGCUUAACCGAGGAAGUGCAUCGGAAACUGGGAAAC